CCAAUGAAAAUGUCACCAAAACAAUGUCCACCAACAAUGUCCAGGGCAUCUGAUGGGCAAGCCAACGGAGCAGGAGCAGGACCCAAAA
Long non-coding RNA from Perca fluviatilis (European perch), 88 nucleotides. RefSeq lists it as uncharacterized. The transcript is spliced from 3 exons. The record is from RefSeq and is a predicted model, not a curated record. Lineage: Eukaryota; Metazoa; Chordata; Actinopteri; Perciformes; Percidae.